AUUGAACGCUGGCGGCAGGCCUAACACAUGCAAGUCGAGCGGUAGCACAGAGAGCUUGCUCUCGGGUGACGAGCGGCGGACGGGUGAGUAAUGUCUGGGAAACUGCCUGAUGGAGGGGGAUAACUACUGGAAACGGUAGCUAAUACCGCAUAAUGUCGCAAGACCAAAGAGGGGGACCUUCGGGCCUCUUGCCAUCAGAUGUGCCCAGAUGGUGUAG
This 217-nucleotide ribosomal RNA is filed under the name uncultured bacterium. Its description in RNAcentral is "partial 16S ribosomal RNA". It matches the Rfam family "Bacterial small subunit ribosomal RNA", at positions 30 to 243 of the family's 1533-position model. The record is from RNAcentral.